UGAGUUGGCCAGGUAACCGCUGCUUCGUUGAUGUCCCUUGGGAGACUGGCGAAGGGGAGGAAAGUCCGGGCUCCAUAGGGCAGGGUGCCAGAUAACGUCUGGGGGGCGCGAGCCUACGACCAGUGCAGCAGAGAGCAAACCGCCGAUGGCCCGUUUUUCGGAACGGUGCACAGGUAAGGGUGAAAGGGUGCGGUAAGAGCGCACCGCGCGGCUAGCAAUAGUUCGUGGCACGGUAAACUCCACCCGGAGCAAGACCAAAUAGGUCCCUAAUGGCGUGGCCCGCGUUGGGGACGGGUAGGUUGCUUGAGCCUGUGAGCGAUUGCAGGCCUAGAAGAAUGGUUACCACCGCGCAAGCGGAUACAAAACCCGGCUUAUCGGCCAACUCACCCC
Photobacterium aquae is the source of this 390-nucleotide non-coding RNA. Lineage: Bacteria; Pseudomonadati; Pseudomonadota; Gammaproteobacteria; Vibrionales; Vibrionaceae. The record is from Rfam.